UACGUAGGGUGCAAGCGUUGUCCGGAAUUAUUGGGCGUAAAGAGCUCGUAGGCGGUUUGUCGCGUCGGUUGUGAAAGCCCGGGGCUCAACUCCGGGUCUGCAUUCGAUACGGGCAAACUAGAGUUCGGUAGGGGAGACUGGAAUUCCUGGUGUAGCGGUGAAAUGCGCAGAUAUCAGGAGGAACACCGGUGGCGAAGGCGGGUCUCUGGGCCGAUACUGACGCUGAGGAGCGAAAGCGUGGGGAGCAAACAGG
Molecule: ribosomal RNA, 253 nt
Filed under: uncultured bacterium
Lineage: Bacteria
Description: partial 16S ribosomal RNA
Rfam family: Bacterial small subunit ribosomal RNA
Source: RNAcentral